UGGGCGGUAGCCAAGCGGUAAGGCACAUGACUUUGACUCAUGCAUUCCCCUAGUUCGAAUCUAGGUCGCCCAG
This 73-nucleotide transfer RNA is filed under the name Caudoviricetes sp. RNAcentral describes it as "tRNA-Gln". It matches the Rfam family "tRNA". Rfam says of the family: Transfer RNA (tRNA) molecules are approximately 80 nucleotides in length. Lineage: Duplodnaviria; Heunggongvirae; Uroviricota; Caudoviricetes. The record is from RNAcentral.